CUACGGGAGGCUGCAGUGGGGGAUAUUGCACAAUGGAGGAAACUCUGAUGCAGCAACGCCGCGUGAGGGAAGAAGGUUUUCGGAUUGUAAACCUCUGUCCUUGGUGAAGAAACAAAUGACGGUAGCCAAGGAGGAAGCCACGGCUAACUACGUGCCAGCGGCCGCGGUGAAUACGUAGGUGGCAAGCGUUGUCCGGAUUUACUGGGUGUAAAGGGUGCGCAGGCGGGACGGCAAGUUGGAUGUGAAAUACCGAGGCUUAACUUCGGGGCUGCAUCCAAAACUGUGGUUCUUGAGAGAUGUAGAGGUAAGCGGAAUUCCGAGUGUAGCGGUGAAAUGCGUAGAUAUUCGAAGGAACACCAGUGGCGAAGGCGGCUUACUGGGCAUUUUCUGACGCUGAGGCACGAAAGUGUGGGGAGCAAACAGGAUUAGAUACCCGGGUAGUC
Molecule: ribosomal RNA, 443 nt
Filed under: uncultured bacterium
Lineage: Bacteria
Description: partial 16S ribosomal RNA
Rfam family: Bacterial small subunit ribosomal RNA
Source: RNAcentral